UACGUAGGUGGCAAGCGUUAUCCGGAAUGAUUGGGCGUAAAGCGUCCGCAGGUGGCUAUGUAAGUCUGCUGUUAAAGAGUGAGGCUCAACCUCAUAAGAGCAGUGGAAACUACAUGGCUAGAGUGCGUUCGGGGCAGAGGGAAUUCCUGGUGUAGCGGUGAAAUGCGUAGAUAUCAGGAAGAACACCGGUGGCGAAAGCGCUCUGCUAGGCCGCAACUGACACUGAGGGACGAAAGCUAGGGGAGCGAAUGGG
This 253-nucleotide ribosomal RNA is filed under the name uncultured bacterium. Its description in RNAcentral is "partial 16S ribosomal RNA". It matches the Rfam family "Bacterial small subunit ribosomal RNA", at positions 524 to 776 of the family's 1533-position model. The record is from RNAcentral.